GAUGAACGCUGGCGGCGUGCCUAACACAUGCAAGUCGAACGAACAGACCACAAGCUUCUUCCUUUCACGAUUGCGGCGGGCGGGUGAGUCACGCGUGUAUAACCCACUUCUAUCUCGGGGAGGAUUGCGAAAAACCGGCUAAUAUCGCAGAUGAUAUGUCUUACGGGUGGGGGCAGGAGAGUUUUUCCGUUUUGCGGUGAGCUAGAGACGGAUCCGCUGCGCAUUGGCUAGUUGGUAGGGUAACGGCUUACCGAGGCGACGAUGCGUAGCCGACGUGAGAGGGGGAUCAGCCACACUGGAGCUGAGACACGGUCCAGACACCUACGGGAGGCAGCAGUGGGGAAGGUUGGACAAUGGGCGGAAGCCUGACCGAGCGACGCCGCGUGGGUGAAGAAGGGCUUCGGGUCGUAAAACGCUUUUAUUGGGGAAGAACAAAUGCGUCAGGAACGAAGCAUGUUGUGACGGUACCUAAAGAAGAAGCACCGGCUAACUACGUG
RNAcentral lists this ribosomal RNA (497 nucleotides) under uncultured bacterium. RNAcentral describes it as "partial 16S ribosomal RNA". It matches the Rfam family "Bacterial small subunit ribosomal RNA", at positions 28 to 507 of the family's 1533-position model. The record is from RNAcentral.